AGUGAACGCUGGCGGUAGGCCUAACACAUGCAAGUCGAACGGCAGCACAGAGGAGCUUGCUCCUUGGGUGGCGAGUGGCGGACGGGUGAGGAAUAUAUCGGAAUCUACUCUGUCGUGGGGGAUAACGUAGGGAAACUUACGCUAAUACCGCAUACGACCUACGGGCGAAAGCAGGGGAUCUUCGGACCUUGCGCGAUUGACUGAGCCGAUGUCGGAUUAGCUAGUUGGCGGGGUAAAGGCCCACCAAGGCGACGAUCCGUAGCUGGUCUGAGAGGAUGAUCAGCCACACUGGAACUGAGACACGGUCCAGACUCCUACGGGAGGCAGCAGUGGGGAAUAUUGGACAAUGGGCGCAAGCCUGAUCCAGCCAUACCGCGUGGGUGAAGAAGGCCUUCGGGUUGUAAAGCCCUUUUGUUGGGAAAGAAAUCCAUCUGGUUAAUACCCGGAUGGGAUGACGGUACCCAAAGAAUAAGCACCGGCUAACUUCGUGCCAGCCGCCGCCGUAA
This 506-nucleotide ribosomal RNA is filed under the name uncultured bacterium. RNAcentral's name for it is "partial 16S ribosomal RNA". It matches the Rfam family "Bacterial small subunit ribosomal RNA", at positions 29 to 523 of the family's 1533-position model. The record is from RNAcentral.